Long non-coding RNA from Phoenix dactylifera (date palm), 2299 nucleotides. RefSeq lists it as uncharacterized. NCBI's taxonomy places the organism in Eukaryota, Viridiplantae, Streptophyta, Magnoliopsida, Arecales, Arecaceae. The record is from RefSeq and is a predicted model, not a curated record.
ACUGCCCCAAUUUCUCUCGUUCUCCCAUAUAUCUUCUUCUUCUUUUCUCCUAAAAAUCCCUAGAAAUGUCGAUCGGGAGUUUAUCUUUUUAUUUAUUGGAGAUUGACUCGAAAGAACUAUGGAGAGUCUUCCUCUCAUCGACGUCUUCUCGGAGGACGAUCCCCUCAUCUUCGCGUCCUUACAAUGCCGCUCCAGAUUUGCCCUCCUUAGGUACUUGUACAUCUCGUUCUUUGUUUUUUACUCCCAUUUCGGCAUGGAUUUUGUGGCGUUUGAUGGGCAAUGCACUUUUUUCCUGGUAUUAUUUUUCUUGAGUUUUGGGGGGCAAGAAUUGAGAUUUAGGGUUUCUUGGUUCCUUUCUAGACAUGGAUUGGCGCGAUCCGCUUUGUUCCUGCGUUUUGUUCUUGCGCUUCGAUGAGGUUUGGAUAAGGGGGAGACUUUGUAUCGAAUGUUUGGUUUCCUUCUGGUCCUUUUGAAGUUUAAGCAUGUGCAAAUUGUCUGCGAAGGGAAUUGAUUUGGUUCUUGAUGCGUGAUUCUAUUGGUUCGAUCAAGAAUUUGGUUGCAAAAUGGAAAGUAAAUAGUAUCCAUAGAGUUUUUCGGACCACAAGAAUCCAUGAUUGUUUGUAACGAUGUUUGGGAGUUAUUAUAUCUUAUAACGAACGAAACUUAUAAUAUUCCAUCUAUACUGAAGUUCACCAUUGCGUUGAACUGCUGACACUCUCCCUGCAGUCAUGUCCUCUAUGGGACUACCUCACUUGUAUUGCAAAUUUGUUAUAGGAUUUAGCUGCGUGAUGACUCAUUGGCUUGACCUUCAGGCAGAUUACUCAAUGAAAUGACUCUCCUUGCACACGGAAAAGUCUCAAUAUUAUAUUCCCAUGCAAGAGAAAAUUUUGGCAUUUUAUACAGUUAACUUGUUGCAUUUAUCAAUUAUAUACUUCAUUUCCCAAUUCGGCUUUUGAUUGUACGUUACAAUUUUUAUUAGGUUAUGUAUUGUGUAGUUUUAUCAUUUUUUUGGACAUAUGUGGUGUGAAAAAAUUAGACAUCAGAAAUAUGAGCUCAAUAAAGUUGAUGAGCAUGUGUUUCCUUCCAUUUAAACAUUUCAGUUAUUUAAAAUUCAUAACAUGGUUGUGCAUGAUCAUUUUAUCCUUUAUUAUAUAAUCAACACUUGGAGUUGUCAUGACCGGCUAACCAAUCAAUUGUUUUUUACGUAAUAUGUGAGAGGCAUGCUGAUCCUUAAGCCCCCAUACUGUUCUCAUGCUUCAAUUGGUGGAACAAUUCUGGUCUAAGUCUGUAAAGCUUUCAGCAUUGGUAUGUAAUCUUCGACCCCACGAUGCAACUUCAAAAAAGAAUCUUGGAUUCCUCCUGUAGCGUAUGGAGGAGACACGUCCCUUGUGCUCGAUGUUGAGACAUUUUCAGAGGCUGGCCAAUUGCAAAACAUGUUUAGAAGUACCACUGGUAUCAGUAGCCCUGUUGGGGUAAACAAACUGAACCCCAGUAAGCUUUGAUUAUUAUGACCUGCAGCGUCCACAAAGUUUGAUCCUUCACACAUCAAAUUGACAAUCUUGUCUUCUGUUCGUAACCAUGGAGCCUGAAUCACCUACAUGUCUGCAACAACUAUUAAAACAUUCUGAAUUAGGUGGCACUACGAGAUGCAAAAAGUCAUGUCUUGUGCCCUGAUGUUGCCAUGAUUUGCCUCCUUGUUCGAGCAAAGAAAGCCUUUCUAAGGUAAGCAAAGGCAGUGUGGUUGAUACAUCUGAAUUCGGUCGGUUAUCCAAUCCAGGUGCUGGAGAGCAAGCCAAUCAUGACCAUUUAAAGUUUAUAACUGCAUUUCCAAUCGCAACUGAAUCUGUAAUAACUAAUGGUAAAAGAUGGUGUGUCAUAGUAAAAUGAAGACAUAUGAGCAACCAUCAUGCGUGUGCAUAAAGGAGAGCCAUAUGGAAAGUGACUUCUAUUCAGUUACCCGAAGCAUGGAGAAGAGAAUUUGUUUUCUGUUGAUAAAACCGAAGUCUGGGGCAAAAACUUGCCGGCUAAGAAUCUGAAGCUGCCAACUGUAGGACUCAUGGAGGAAAUGGUCUGGAUGUUUGCUUCCUCGUUUGUGCUCUUGAAAGCAGUCCACCGGGGCAUUGUUUGACCUUGCAACUCGUGUUGUGGAUGGUAUCUGAAGGAGAUCUCUACAUGCUCAAACCGUGGGAAUCUGACUCAAAUUUGAAGGAACAUUUUUCAUUUUUUAGGGCAUACCUUUAAUUCUAUUCUGUUCUGCGACUUGCUGGAGUUAAUUUUAUGAAACUUAGGAUUCUAGAAG